AGAGUUUGAUCCUGGCUCAGAUUGAACGCUGGCGGUAUGCUUAACACAUGCAAGUCGAACGGUAACAGGCCUUCGGGCGCUGACGAGUGGCGGACGGGUGAGUAACGCGUAGGAAUCUGCCUCAUAGUGGGGGACAACGUGGGGAAACUCACGCUAAUACCGCAUACGCCCUACGGGGGAAAGCGGGGGAUCUUCGGACCUCGCGCUAUGAGAUGAGCCUGCGUUAGAUUAGCUAGUUGGUAGGGUAAAGGCCUACCAAGGCGACGAUCUAUAGCUGGUCCGAGAGGACGAUCAGCCACACUGGGACUGAGACACGGCCCAGACUCCUACGGGAGGCAGCAGUGGGGAAUAUUGGACAAUGGGCGCAAGCCUGAUCCAGCAAUACCGCGUGUGUGAAGAAGGCCUUAGGGUUGUAAAGCACUUUCAAUUGGGAGGAAAACCUGCCGGUCAAUACCCGGCAGCUUGACAUUACCUUUAGAAGAAGCACCGGCUAACUCCGUG
This 501-nucleotide ribosomal RNA is filed under the name uncultured bacterium. Its description in RNAcentral is "bacterial SSU rRNA". It matches the Rfam family "Bacterial small subunit ribosomal RNA", at positions 8 to 507 of the family's 1533-position model. The record is from RNAcentral.